This 253-nucleotide ribosomal RNA is filed under the name uncultured bacterium. RNAcentral describes it as "partial 16S ribosomal RNA". It matches the Rfam family "Bacterial small subunit ribosomal RNA", at positions 524 to 776 of the family's 1533-position model. The record is from RNAcentral.
UACGUAGGGGGCGAGCGUUGUCCGGAAUCAUUGGGCGUAAAGCGCGUGUAGGCGGUCCGGUAAGUCCGCUGUGAAAGUCGGGGGCUCAACCCUCGGAUGCCGGUGGAUACUGUCGGGCUUGAGUACGGAAGAGGCGAGUGGAAUUCCUGGUGUAGCGGUGAAAUGCGCAGAUAUCAGGAGGAACACCAAUUGCGAAGGCAGCUCGUUGGGACGUUACUGACGCUGAGACGCGAAAGCGUGGGGAGCAAACAGG